GAGUUUGAUCCUGGCUCAGAAUGAACGCUGGCGACGUGCUUUACACAUGCAAGUCGAGCGAGGCGUGUAGCAAUACACAGUCGAGCGGCGAACGGGUGAGUAACGCGUGGAUUAUCUGCCCUGAGGUGGGGGGAUAACCCGGGGAAACUCGGGCUAAUACCGCAUAGGACCGUGAGGUCAAAGGGGGGUCGCAAGAUCUCUCGCCAUAGGAGGAGUCCGCGUCCGAUUAGCUAGUUGGUAGGGUAAUGGCCUACCAAGGCGACGAUCGGUAGCCGGCCUGAGAGGGUGAUCGGCCACACUGGAACUGAGACACGGUCCAGACUCCUACGGGAGGCAGCAGUGGGGAAUUUUGCGCAAUGGCUAACGCCUGACGCAGCAACGCCGCGUGGAGGAUGAAGGUCCUUGGAUUGUAAACUCCUGUCAGCAGGGAAAAGCAACUUGGCCUCAUACGCUAAGAAGUUGAUUGUACCUGCAGAGGAAGCCCGGCUAACUCUGUGCCAGCAGCCGCAGU
This 511-nucleotide ribosomal RNA is filed under the name uncultured bacterium. RNAcentral describes it as "bacterial SSU rRNA". It matches the Rfam family "Bacterial small subunit ribosomal RNA", at positions 9 to 521 of the family's 1533-position model. The record is from RNAcentral.